UUCCUAGUGGUCCAGUGGUUAGGACUCUGCAUUUUCACUGCAGUGGGUGUGGGUUCAAUCCCUGCUCAAGGAA
Molecule: transfer RNA, 73 nt
Filed under: Ovis aries (sheep)
Lineage: Eukaryota; Metazoa; Chordata; Mammalia; Artiodactyla; Bovidae
Rfam family: tRNA
About the family: Transfer RNA (tRNA) molecules are approximately 80 nucleotides in length.
Source: Rfam by way of RNAcentral